This 216-nucleotide ribosomal RNA is filed under the name Glomeromycotina sp. RNAcentral describes it as "partial small subunit ribosomal RNA". The stretch from base 40 to 216 matches the Rfam family "Eukaryotic small subunit ribosomal RNA", at positions 686 to 864 of the family's 1831-position model. The record is from RNAcentral. Lineage: Eukaryota; Fungi; Glomeromycota.
GGGUCAGUAGGUUGGUCGUGCCACCGGUACGUACUGGUCUCACUGAUUCCUCCUUCCUGAAUAACCGUAAUGCCAUUAAUUUGGUGUUGCGGGGUAACAGGACUGUUAGUUUGAAAAAAUUAGAGUGUUUAAAGCAAGCUAACGCUUGAAUACAUUAGCAUGGAAUAAUGAAAUAGGACGAUCGAUCCUAUUUUGUUGGUUUCUAGGAUUGACGUA